AAAACGAAAGUAAUUACUACACUUGGCUUCGACCCAAAUUUUGGGUUAACCCUCGUUUUA
This 60-nucleotide transfer RNA is filed under the name Gammarus pulex. RNAcentral's name for it is "tRNA-Arg". Lineage: Eukaryota; Metazoa; Arthropoda; Malacostraca; Amphipoda; Gammaridae. The record is from RNAcentral.